UUCUCCCAAGAGUGCUCAGAAUCAGUUCUACAUUUGCCGUCAGGAGGGGCUGCAAAGAUAUGUCAUCUACCGUGUGAACUUGUCUGAUACCCACCCUAAGUCCCAAAGUGCUGAUAGUGAGAAGUUCAGGCUGGUAUCAUAAUGAGCAACAUUGGGAUACUCCACUGAUGUGGUACGGAUGAAAUAAGAGGCUUCACGCAGUUCCCUCAUCGCUGACCACUGAACAACACCACAUCAUCCCAAAACAGCCCAGGACCUUGCAGCGACAGGACUUUGCUGGUGUGAAAUUACAGCUUCAAAUACCGUUGAGGUCACUGGUGACAGAAAGCCCCACGGAAUCUGGCAGCUACUGGAUGAUCCGAAGGAAACUGAGCUUCAGCCUCUUCCCAAGUGUUUCAUGCUGUAAGAUCCACCCUUAGCACUUUGUCAGCUGCCUGCUUGGAAAUGAUAGAUGAAAGUCUAUUAGAAGUCAAGGCCCUGGUCCUGAAAAUGUUUCCUGAUCCACUGAAACUUCUGAGUUACUGCUUGACAUGCUACAGAGCCCACCUGCAUCUCUGCUGUCAUGGCAGGUCAAGACUCCUGAGACUGUGAGGACAAAAACAGGCUGCACAGCAUUGGUGAGGAUGAGCAAGACAUAGGUUUAAAGCCAGAAUGCAGACAAGCAUAGAGAAUAUGAUAAGUAUAGACUGCAUCAGUGAAGCUGGUCCGUAAUCAUCCCAUGAAAAACAGGAGAGACUGAGAUGGUCAUCUACAUUUUUAAUACUUUAGAGGUAUCACUGUCUAUCUGUUCUUACAUAAAGCAGAAAAACCCUAAACCAAUAAACAAAAUAUUGCUAGUCAUUAAAAUUAAUUAAAACAAUUCAGAUCAGGUCUGCCAUAGAAUGCAACAACUUCAGUUAGUCUUGGUUAGACAGAAAUUGGAAGAAUUGUCUAGUCUUUUCUGCAGAAACUUCUAAGUCUCCUUGCUGUUGUUUUCCUUCUUUUUUUUUUUUUUUUUGUUAUUGUUUUGGAUUUUUUGUUUGCAUGUGCACACAGUCAACCUAUGUCUGUAUAAAAUUUAAUAAUUGCUGCCCAAAAAGGUAACAAAGAAUCCUAAUUCAAAGUCAGGUCUUCUUUUCCUCACUGAAACAAAGUUACCAAGCAUCAGAAUGAUUCAAUCAUACCCGUUUGCUCUUUCUUGCUGUUAUAAUCAGAGUGUGCAACUAAUAAAACAUUUUUAAACAAUAAAGUUCCAGCAUCAAGAAAAAGUG
Long non-coding RNA from Pseudopipra pipra, 1250 nucleotides. RefSeq lists it as uncharacterized. NCBI's taxonomy places the organism in Eukaryota, Metazoa, Chordata, Aves, Passeriformes, Pipridae. The record is from RefSeq and is a predicted model, not a curated record. The transcript is spliced from 3 exons.